UCCGGGGGGGGCAAGCGUUGUUCGGAAUUACUGGGCGUAAAGGGCCAGUAGGCGGCCAACUAAGUCGGACGUGAAAUCCCCAGGCUCAACCUGGGAACUGCGUCCGAUACUGGAUGGCUUGAAUUCGGGAGAGGGAUGCAGAAUUCCAGGUGUAGCGGUGAAAUGCGUAGAUAUCUGGAGGAAUACCGGUGGCGAAGGCGGCAUCCUGGACCGACAUUGACGCUGAACGGCGAAAGCUAGGGGAGCAAACGGG
Molecule: ribosomal RNA, 253 nt
Filed under: uncultured bacterium
Lineage: Bacteria
Description: partial 16S ribosomal RNA
Rfam family: Bacterial small subunit ribosomal RNA
Source: RNAcentral